This 425-nucleotide ribosomal RNA is filed under the name uncultured bacterium. Its description in RNAcentral is "partial 16S ribosomal RNA". It matches the Rfam family "Bacterial small subunit ribosomal RNA", at positions 354 to 796 of the family's 1533-position model. The record is from RNAcentral.
GUGGGGAAUCUUGCGCAAUGGGCGAAAGCCUGACGCAGCCAUGCCGCGUGAAUGAUGAAGGUCUUAGGAUUGUAAAAUUCUUUCACCGGGGACGAUAAUGACGGUACCCGGAGAAGAAGCCCCGGCUAACUUCGUGCCAGCAGCCGCGGUAAUACGAAGGGGGCUAGCGUUGCUCGGAAUUACUGGGCGUAAAGGGCGCGUAGGCGGACAGUUUAGUCAGAGGUGAAAGCCCAGGGCUCAACCUUGGAAUUGCCUUUGAUACUGGCUGUCUUGAGUACGGGAGAGGUGAGUGGAACUCCGAGUGUAGAGGUGAAAUUCGUAGAUAUUCGGGAGAACACCAGUGGCGAAGGCGACUCACUGGCCCGUUACUGACGCUGAGGCGCGAAAGCGUGGGGAGCAAACAGGAUUAGAUACCCCAGUAGUCC